Molecule: long non-coding RNA, 212 nt
Filed under: Brassica napus (rape)
Lineage: Eukaryota; Viridiplantae; Streptophyta; Magnoliopsida; Brassicales; Brassicaceae
Description: long non-coding RNA (BNAP_LNC020646)
Source: RNAcentral
AGUUUGUCAGGAAUUAGGGUUUUUACUGCUCAGAUUUAUUUCUGGUUUUUAGGGUUAGGGUUUAUGAGAGCAACGUCGUGCUGAUAACGUAUUGUAAAUGAAGUGUUGGGGAAAUACUUCUGUUAUUAUUACUGUCGACCAGAAGGUCCAUAUAUAUACAAGGUAUUAGACCGUCAUAAGGUCAUGUUUAUCCUAACAAGAUAAGGAUAAUG